RNAcentral lists this ribosomal RNA (497 nucleotides) under uncultured bacterium. Its description in RNAcentral is "partial 16S ribosomal RNA". It matches the Rfam family "Bacterial small subunit ribosomal RNA", at positions 28 to 507 of the family's 1533-position model. The record is from RNAcentral.
GAUGAACGCUGGCGGCGUGCCUAAUACAUGCCAGUCGAGCGAACAGACGAGGAGCUUGCUCCUCUGACGUUAGCGGCGGACGGGUGAGUAACACGUGGAUAACCUACCUAUAAGACUGGGAUAACUUCGGGAAACCGGAGCUAAUACCGGAUAAUAUAUUGAACCGCAUGGUUCAAUAGUGAAAGACGGUUUUGCUGUCACUUAUAGAUGGAUCCGCGCCGCAUUAGCUAGUUGGUAAGGUAACGGCUUACCAAGGCAACGAUGCGUAGCCGACCUGAGAGGGUGAUCGGCCACACUGGAACUGAGACACGGUCCAGACUCCUACGGGAGGCAGCAGUAGGGAAUCUUCCGCAAUGGGCGAAAGCCUGGCGGAGCAACGCCGCGUGAGUGAUGAAGGUCUUCGGAUCGUAAAACUCUGUUAUUAGGGAAGAACAAAUGUGUAAGUAACUAUGCACGUCUUGACGGUACCUAAUCAGAAAGCCACGGCUAACUACGUG